AUUGAACGCUGGCGGCAUGCCUUACACAUGCAAGUCGAACGGCAGCGGACCUUCGGGUGCCGGCGAGUGGCGAACGGGUGAGUAAUAUAUCGGAACGUACCUUUCAGUGGGGGAUAACGUAGCGAAAGUUACGCUAAUACCGCAUAUUCUGUGAGCAGGAAAGCAGGGGAUCGCAAGACCUUGCGCUGAUUGAGCGGCCGAUAUCAGAUUAGCUAGUUGGUGAGGUAAAGGCUCACCAAGGCGACGAUCUGUAGCGGGUCUGAGAGGAUGAUCCGCCACACUGGAACUGAGACACGGUCCAGACUCCUACGGGAGGCAGCAGUAAGGAAUAUUGCUCAAUGGCCGAAAGGCUGAAGCAGCAACGCCGCGUGGAGGAUGAAAUAACUUUAGUAUGUAACUACCU
Molecule: ribosomal RNA, 403 nt
Filed under: uncultured bacterium
Lineage: Bacteria
Description: bacterial SSU rRNA
Rfam family: Bacterial small subunit ribosomal RNA
Source: RNAcentral